Molecule: non-coding RNA, 36 nt
Filed under: Trichobilharzia regenti
Lineage: Eukaryota; Metazoa; Platyhelminthes; Trematoda; Strigeidida; Schistosomatidae
Source: RNAcentral
ACGAGUCCCAAUUAGGACGAAAUGCGCAUCCUAGAU